GGGAACAAGCGAAACUGUCUUGGAGUUAGACUUUUAAUCUGUUGGUCGUCCGUUCGAACCGGACACGGCCCACCA
This 75-nucleotide transfer RNA is filed under the name Candidatus Competibacteraceae bacterium. Its description in RNAcentral is "tRNA-Ser". Lineage: Bacteria; Pseudomonadati; Pseudomonadota; Gammaproteobacteria; Candidatus Competibacteraceae. The record is from RNAcentral.